Molecule: non-coding RNA, 1086 nt
Organism: Labrus bergylta (ballan wrasse)
Lineage: Eukaryota; Metazoa; Chordata; Actinopteri; Labriformes; Labridae
Source: RefSeq, a predicted model, not a curated record
CGGUGCUGCUCAACAGGUAAACUACAGGACACAGCUCAGGUGUGUGUCAGGUGCUGCUCAACAGGUAAACUACAGGACACAGCUCAGGUGUGUGUCAGGUGCUGCUCAACAGGUAAACUACAGGACACAGCUCAGGUGUGUGUCAGGUGCUGCUCAACAGGUAAACUACAGGACACAGCUCAGGUGUGUGUCAGGUGCUGCUCAACAGGUAACCUACAGGACACAGCUCAGGUGUGUGUCUUCAGUGAGCACGGUAUCAGAUGAUCUCUUUAACACCUGGUGGGUCAUGUGAUCAAAACUGUGAGUUACAGUGUAAAUACUCCUGUUCGAGUAUCUGAGGGACAAAAAAUGACCAAAGUAUAAUAAAUGAAGAAAUGUUUGGAGAAAUGCAGUAAUGUAUAAAAAAUUAAUAAUGCAUCAAUAAAUAUAUAAAUGCUGAAAACAAUACAUCAAUGAAUAAAUAAUGAAUACACUCUAUUAAUGAAAAAGAGUAUUUAUAUAUUUUUACAUGUAUUUAUUCAUUUAUUAGCGUAUUUCUACAGUUAUAUAUGUACCAUACGCUGGAUGUUUUGGCGCUGUAGGAGGACAGGGUGAAUGCAGCAGCAGCGUGGUGCGUUGACCGUUUAUGGUUGAAUGUGGGCGUGUAGAGGGAAAAAAAUGAAGAUAAACAAAUUACUCACUUGAUCUUACUCUGUAGAGCAGCUUAUAAACCUGUUUCACAUCCUGCACACACACAAGCAUUAUUCUGUCUUUCUUGGACAGAUGUUGUAGUUCCUCGUUGUUUUUGUGGCGUCCUGCUCCACAAACUAUUUAGACACUGAAUGCAUCGUUGUCAAAACGUGCAGCGACACCAGGUCAGUAAGAGGGACCAGGUCUUUGAUUGGGAUGAGCUUUUAUUUGAAGUUUUACGGUACUCCUCUACAAGUGAAAGUUGCUCAGUCAGAUUAUUACUCGAGUUAAAGUACUGGAGGACAUCCAUCCAUUAUCUGCUGCAGUGGUUAGAUCUGUUCCUCUCUGUGAGGAGGUUCCUGGUUUGAAUCCCCGUCUGUCAGGAGUCUCCCUGUGAGGAGGUUCCUGGUCUGAAUC